UGUGGUUUAAUUCGAAGCAACGCGAAGAACCUUACCAGGUCUUGACAUCUAGCGCCAACCUCAGAGAUGAGGUGUUCCCUUCGGGGACGCUAAGACAGGUGGUGCAUGGUUGUCGUCAGCUCGUGUCGUGAGAUGUUGGGUUAAGUCCCGCAACGAGCGCAACCCUUAUUAUCAGUUGCCAGCAUUCAGUUGGGCACUCUGGUGAGACUGCCGGUGACAAACCGGAGGAAGGUGGGGACGACGUCAAAUCAUCAUGCCCCUUAUGACCUGGGCUACACACGUGCUACAAUGGACGGUACAACGAGUUGCGAACUCGCGAGGGUAAGCUAAUCUCUUAAAGCCGUUCUCAGUUCGGACUGUAGGCUGCAACUCGCCUACACGAAGUCGGAAUCGCUAGUAAUCGCGGAUCAGCACGCCGCGGUGAAUACGUUCCCGGGCCUUGUACACACCGCCCGUCACACCAUGAGAGUUUGUAACACCCAAAGUCGGUGGGGUAACCUUUAGGAGCCAGCCGCCUAAGGUGGGACAGAUGAUUAGGGUGAAGUCGUAACAAGGUAACCA
Molecule: ribosomal RNA, 561 nt
Filed under: uncultured Lactobacillus sp.
Lineage: Bacteria; Bacillati; Bacillota; Bacilli; Lactobacillales; Lactobacillaceae
Description: bacterial SSU rRNA
Rfam family: Bacterial small subunit ribosomal RNA
Source: RNAcentral